Small nucleolar RNA from Ochotona princeps (American pika), 194 nucleotides. Its record names the gene SNORA74. It matches the Rfam family "Small nucleolar RNA SNORA74". Rfam says of the family: U19 belongs to the H/ACA class of snoRNAs. snoRNAs bind a number of proteins (including dyskerin, Gar1p and Nop10p in the case of the H/ACA class) to form snoRNP complexes. Lineage: Eukaryota; Metazoa; Chordata; Mammalia; Lagomorpha; Ochotonidae. The record is from Ensembl.
CCUAGCUGUAUGCAUUUGCCUAGGUUGUUUGUACCUAGGCAAGUGUCACACUGCUGGGAGAAAAGUAGUGAAUAGCUGGCAGGCAUUCUGGGCAUGGUAAUACCAAAUUUGUGUUAGCUAUAAUAGUGUGCCAGCAUGGUUGCCUAUGCUGGGACACACCACUCUACCCCUAGGCAGGGACAGGGGUAGUGCUA